GAGCGCACAGAAGGGAGCUUGCUCCCGGAAGUGAGCGGCGGAUGGGUGAGUAACACGUGGGCAACCUGCCUGAAAGUCGGGGAUAACUCCGGGAAACGGGAGCUAAUACCGGAUAAUCGCCUGCACCGCAUGGUGCAGGUGUGAAAGAUGGUUUCGGCCAUCACUUUCAGAUGGGCCCGCGGUGCAUUAGUUAGUUGGCGGGGCAACGGCCCACCAAGACCACGAUGCAUAGCCGACCUGAGAGGGUGAUCGGCCACAUUGGGACUGAGACACGGCCCAAACUCCUACGGGAGGCAGCAGUAGGGAAUCUUCCACAAUGGACGAAAGUCUGAUGGAGCAACGCCGCGUGAGCGAAGAAGGUUUUCGGAUCGUAAAGCUCUGUUGCCGGAGAAGAACGGACGGGAGAGGAAAUGCUCCUGUCGUGACGGUAUCCGGCCAGAAAGCCACGGCUAACUACGUGCCAGCAGCCGCGGUAAUACGUAGGUGGCAAGCGUUGUCCGGAAUUAUUGGGCGUAAAGCGCGCGCAGGCGGUUUCUUAAGUCUGAUGUGAAAUCUUGCGGCUCAACCGCAAGCGGCCAUUGGAAACUGGGAAGCUUGAGUACAGAAGAGGAGAGUAGAAUUCCACGUGUAGCGGUGAAAUGCGUAGAGAUGUGGAGGAAUACCGGUGGCGAAGGCGGCUCUCUGGUCUGUUACUGACGCUGAGGUGCGAAAGCGUGGGGGAGCAAACAGGAUUAGAUACCCUGGUAGUCCACGCUGUAAACGAUGAAUGCUAGGUGUUAGGGGGGUCCAACCCCUUAGUGCUGCAGUUAACACAUUAAGCAUUCCGCCUGGGAAGUACGACCGCAAGGUUGANCUCAAAGGAAUUGACGGGGGCCCGCACAAGCAGUGGAGCAUGUGGUUUAAUUCGAAGCAACGCGAAGAACCUUACCAGGUCUUGACAUCCUUCGACCGCCUGAGAGAUCAGGCUUUCCCCUUCGGGGGACGGAGUGACAGGUGGUGCAUGGUUGUCGUCAGCUCGUGUCGUGAGAUGUUGGGUUAAGUCCCGCAACGAGCGCAACCCUUGAUCCCAGUUGCCAGCAUUCAGUUGGGCACUCUGGGGUGACUGCCGGUGACAAACCGGAGGAAGGUGGGGAUGACGUCAAAUCAUCAUGCCCCUUAUGAUCUGGGCUACACACGUGCUACAAUGGGCGGUACAAAGGGCUGCGAGACCGCGAGGUCAAGCCAAUCCCAUAAAGCCGCCCCCAGUUCGGAUUGCAGGCUGCAACCCGCCUGCAUGAAGCCGGAAUUGCUAGUAAUCGCGGAUCAGCAUGCCGCGGUGAAUCCGUUCCCGGGCCUUGUACACACCGCCCGUCACACCACGAGAGUCGGUAACACCCGAAGUCGGUGCGGGAACCUUUAUGGA
RNAcentral lists this ribosomal RNA (1402 nucleotides) under Sporolactobacillus vineae. Its description in RNAcentral is "16S ribosomal RNA". It matches the Rfam family "Bacterial small subunit ribosomal RNA". Lineage: Bacteria; Bacillati; Bacillota; Bacilli; Caryophanales; Sporolactobacillaceae. The record is from RNAcentral.